RNAcentral lists this ribosomal RNA (2773 nucleotides) under Escherichia coli. RNAcentral's name for it is "bacterial LSU rRNA". It matches the Rfam family "Bacterial large subunit ribosomal RNA". Lineage: Bacteria; Pseudomonadati; Pseudomonadota; Gammaproteobacteria; Enterobacterales; Enterobacteriaceae. The record is from RNAcentral.
AGCGUACACGGUGGAUGCCCUGGCAGUCAGAGGCGAUGAAGGACGUGCUAAUCUGCGAUAAGCGUCGGUAAGGUGAUAUGAACCGUUAUAACCGGCGAUUUCCGAAUGGGGAAACCCAGUGUGAUUCGUCACACUAUCAUUAACUGAAUCCAUAGGUUAAUGAGGCGAACCGGGGGAACUGAAACAUCUAAGUACCCCGAGGAAAAGAAAUCAACCGAGAUUCCCCCAGUAGCGGCGAGCGAACGGGGAGCAGCCCAGAGCCUGAAUCAGUGUGUGUGUUAGUGGAAGCGUCUGGAAAGGCGCGCGAUACAGGGUGACAGCCCCGUACACAAAAAUGCACAUACUGUGAGCUCGAUGAGUAGGGCGGGACACGUGGUAUCCUGUCUGAAUAUGGGGGGACCAUCCUCCAAGGCUAAAUACUCCUGACUGACCGAUAGUGAACCAGUACCGUGAGGGAAAGGCGAAAAGAACCCCGGCGAGGGGAGUGAAAAAGAACCUGAAACCGUGUACGUACAAGCAGUGGGAGCCUCUUUAUGGGGUGACUGCGUACCUUUUGUAUAAUGGGUCAGCGACUUAUAUUCUGUAGCAAGGUUAACCGAAUAGGGGAGCCGAAGGGAAACCGAGUCUUAACUGGGCGUUAAGUUGCAGGGUAUAGACCCGAAACCCGGUGAUCUAGCCAUGGGCAGGUUGAAGGUUGGGUAACACUAACUGGAGGACCGAACCGACUAAUGUUGAAAAAUUAGCGGAUGACUUGUGGCUGGGGGUGAAAGGCCAAUCAAACCGGGAGAUAGCUGGUUCUCCCCGAAAGCUAUUUAGGUAGCGCCUCGUGAAUUCAUCUCCGGGGGUAGAGCACUGUUUCGGCAAGGGGGUCAUCCCGACUUACCAACCCGAUGCAAACUGCGAAUACCGGAGAAUGUUAUCACGGGAGACACACGGCGGGUGCUAACGUCCGUCGUGAAGAGGGAAACAACCCAGACCGCCAGCUAAGGUCCCAAAGUCAUGGUUAAGUGGGAAACGAUGUGGGAAGGCCCAGACAGCCAGGAUGUUGGCUUAGAAGCAGCCAUCAUUUAAAGAAAGCGUAAUAGCUCACUGGUCGAGUCGGCCUGCGCGGAAGAUGUAACGGGGCUAAACCAUGCACCGAAGCUGCGGCAGCGACACUAUGUGUUGUUGGGUAGGGGAGCGUUCUGUAAGCCUGUGAAGGUGUGCUGUGAGGUAUGCUGGAGGUAUCAGAAGUGCGAAUGCUGACAUAAGUAACGAUAAAGCGGGUGAAAAGCCCGCUCGCCGGAAGACCAAGGGUUCCUGUCCAACGUUAAUCGGGGCAGGGUGAGUCGACCCCUAAGGCGAGGCCGAAAGGCGUAGUCGAUGGGAAACAGGUUAAUAUUCCUGUACUUGGUGUUACUGCGAAGGGGGGACGGAGAAGGCUAUGUUGGCCGGGCGACGGUUGUCCCGGUUUAAGCGUGUAGGCUGGUUUUCCAGGCAAAUCCGGAAAAUCAAGGCUGAGGCGUGAUGACGAGGCACUACGGUGCUGAAGCAACAAAUGCCCUGCUUCCAGGAAAAGCCUCUAAGCAUCAGGUAACAUCAAAUCGUACCCCAAACCGACACAGGUGGUCAGGUAGAGAAUACCAAGGCGCUUGAGAGAACUCGGGUGAAGGAACUAGGCAAAAUGGUGCCGUAACUUCGGGAGAAGGCACGCUGAUAUGUAGGUGAAGUCCCUUGCGGAUGGAGCUGAAAUCAGUCGAAGAUACCAGCUGGCUGCAACUGUUUAUUAAAAACACAGCACUGUGCAAACACGAAAGUGGACGUAUACGGUGUGACGCCUGCCCGGUGCCGGAAGGUUAAUUGAUGGGGUUAGCGGUAACGCGAAGCUCUUGAUCGAAGCCCCGGUAAACGGCGGCCGUAACUAUAACGGUCCUAAGGUAGCGAAAUUCCUUGUCGGGUAAGUUCCGACCUGCACGAAUGGCGUAAUGAUGGCCAGGCUGUCUCCACCCGAGACUCAGUGAAAUUGAACUCGCUGUGAAGAUGCAGUGUACCCGCGGCAAGACGGAAAGACCCCGUGAACCUUUACUAUAGCUUGACACUGAACAUUGAGCCUUGAUGUGUAGGAUAGGUGGGAGGCUUUGAAGUGUGGACGCCAGUCUGCAUGGAGCCGACCUUGAAAUACCACCCUUUAAUGUUUGAUGUUCUAACGUUGGCCCCUGAUCGGGGUUGCGGACAGUGUCUGGUGGGUAGUUUGACUGGGGCGGUCUCCUCCUAAAGAGUAACGGAGGAGCACGAAGGUUGGCUAAUCCUGGUCGGACAUCAGGAGGUUAGUGCAAUGGCAUAAGCCAGCUUGACUGCGAGCGUGACGGCGCGAGCAGGUGCGAAAGCAGGUCAUAGUGAUCCGGUGGUUCUGAAUGGAAGGGCCAUCGCUCAACGGAUAAAAGGUACUCCGGGGAUAACAGGCUGAUACCGCCCAAGAGUUCAUAUCGACGGCGGUGUUUGGCACCUCGAUGUCGGCUCAUCACAUCCUGGGGCUGAAGUAGGUCCCAAGGGUAUGGCUGUUCGCCAUUUAAAGUGGUACGCGAGCUGGGUUUAGAACGUCGUGAGACAGUUCGGUCCCUAUCUGCCGUGGGCGCUGGAGAACUGAGGGGGGCUGCUCCUAGUACGAGAGGACCGGAGUGGACGCAUCACUGGUGUUCGGGUUGUCAUGCCAAUGGCACUGCCCGGUAGCUAAAUGCGGAAGAGAUAAGUGCUGAAAGCAUCUAAGCACGAAACUUGCCCCGAGAUGAGUUCU